UUCCGAUGUCCGCUGCCGCGUGUGUGGAAGUUAUGGCCGCUUCUGUCUGUCAUGCACUCACUGAAAAGGCUAGGGCUUCGGGUGUUGGCACGCCUUUGGCACCUCUUGCGACUCUGGGAAGCAAGGUUGCAGACUCCGUCUCAGAAUGGCAGGAUCCCUAAGCGUAAACGGACCGGUGUGGCCACCGAUGAGAAGGUGGAGGUAGAUGAUUGGCAUCUGCUUCAGGUGUGCUUCUGAAGUUCAGCUGUGAGAACGCGUGUCGAGCCAUGAGUUUCGGUAAGGUUGGAGUUGAUUCCUGGAGACAUUGUCGGGUGUGGCACAUAAGGACCUUCUUGACGCUAUACAUGCUAACAGCUUAUUCAUACAAUCGCAGGGGUUGUUGAAUGGAAGGAUUGGUCUGCUAGAUUAAGAGGUGCAGGCUGAGUCACGGGAGAAGGAUGCAGGAUGCUGUAGCCGUCACACAGGUUAUUGCCCUGGAGUGUCCUGCUGCUGCCGGCCUUCAGUCCCCCAGAGAGAGUGUCAUCAAAGGACCUUGGAGUUUGAUCUGCAAGAGCAGCCAGCAGAGUCAAGUGACUGCAGUCACCCUGGAAGCCUCUGGCAGCGAGCGAAUAUUGGAGGCACUGGGGAGGAGGUCCGCAUUUCUCACAGUGGAU
Molecule: long non-coding RNA, 653 nt
Organism: Arvicola amphibius (Eurasian water vole)
Lineage: Eukaryota; Metazoa; Chordata; Mammalia; Rodentia; Cricetidae
Exons: 5
Source: RefSeq, a predicted model, not a curated record